Molecule: ribosomal RNA, 314 nt
Filed under: uncultured eukaryote
Lineage: Eukaryota
Description: partial 18S ribosomal RNA
Rfam family: Eukaryotic small subunit ribosomal RNA
Source: RNAcentral
CCCUUAGAUGUUCUGGGCUGCACGCGCGCUACACUGACACUAUCAACGAGUGCUCCUGGUUUGAAAGGAUCGGGUAAUCUUUUGAAAUGGUGUCGUGAUGGGGAUAGAUCAUUGCAAUUAUUGAUCUUGAACGAGGAAUUCCUAGUAAAUGUGAGUCAUCAGCUCACGUUGAUUACGUCCCUGCCCUUUGUACACACCGCCCGUCGCUCCUACCGAUUGAGUGAACCGAUGAGUAGUCCGGAUUGCGAUCGACCUCGGUUAAUCGCGAGAAGUUCCGCAAAUCACGUCACUUAGAGGAAGGAGAAGUCGUAACA